GAUGAACGCUGGCGGCGUGCUUAACACAUGCAAGUCGAACGAUGAAGCCCCGCUUGCUGGGUGGAUUAGUGGCGAACGGGUGAGUAACACGUGAGUAACCUGCCCUUAACUCUGGGAUAAGCCUGGGAAACUGGGGCUAAUACCGGAUAGGAGCGCCUACCGCAUGGUGGGUGUUGGAAAGAUUUAUCGGUUUUGGAUGGACUCGCGGCCUAUCAGCUUGUUGGUGAGGUAAUGGCUCACCAAGGCGACGACGGGUAGCCGGCCUGAGAGGGUGACCGGCCACACUGGGACUGAGACACGGCCCAGACUCCUACGGGAGGCAGCAGUGGGGAAUAUUGCACAAUGGGCGAAAGCCUGAUGCAGCGACGCCGCGUGAGGGAUGACGGCCUUCGGGUUGUAAACCUCUUUCAGUAGGGAAGAAGCGAAAGUGACGGUACCUGCAGAAGAAGCACCGGCUAACUACGUG
Molecule: ribosomal RNA, 466 nt
Filed under: uncultured bacterium
Lineage: Bacteria
Description: partial 16S ribosomal RNA
Rfam family: Bacterial small subunit ribosomal RNA
Source: RNAcentral